RNAcentral lists this long non-coding RNA (385 nucleotides) under Populus tremula. Its description in RNAcentral is "long non-coding RNA (PTRE_LNC001867)". The record is from RNAcentral. Lineage: Eukaryota; Viridiplantae; Streptophyta; Magnoliopsida; Malpighiales; Salicaceae.
CUCCUCACACGUUUCACAUCAGCAGGAUCCAUAUUUUCAUUGGUUCCUGUGUCUCCUUCAAGGUCAUCAUCAUCCGAGUCUUCUCUUGAUGAUCCACUGGUUGUUUGCCUGGCUUGAACCUCUUGUUUUCUCUGUGUAAUAGGUAAAGCUGGAAUGCCAAGUGAUCCACCAUCUGAUUUUCUCUGAGUAGUAGGUAAAGCUGGAAUGCCGAGUGAUCCACCAUCUGAUUUUCUCUGAGUAGUAGGUAAAGCUGGAAUGCCGAGUGAUUCACCAUCUGAUUUUCUCUGUGUAGUAGGUAAAGCUGAAAUGCCGAGUGAUUCACCAUCUGAUUUUCUCUGCGUAGUAGGUAAAGCUGGAAUGCCGAGUGAUACACCAUCUUCCCCGA